This 161-nucleotide ribosomal RNA is filed under the name Amanita sp. AD-C55035. Its description in RNAcentral is "5.8S ribosomal RNA". It matches the Rfam family "5.8S ribosomal RNA". Rfam says of the family: 5.8S ribosomal RNA (5.8S rRNA) is a component of the large subunit of the eukaryotic ribosome. Lineage: Eukaryota; Fungi; Basidiomycota; Agaricomycetes; Agaricales; Amanitaceae. The record is from RNAcentral.
AUAACUUUCAACAACGGAUCUCUUGGCUCUCGCAUCGAUGAAGAACGCAGCGAAAUGCGAUAAGUAAUGUGAAUUGCAGAAUUCAGUGAAUCAUCGAAUCUUUGAACGCAUCUUGCGCUCCUUGGUAUUCCAUGGAGCACGCCUGUUUGAGUGUCAUUAAA